This 496-nucleotide ribosomal RNA is filed under the name uncultured bacterium. RNAcentral's name for it is "partial 16S ribosomal RNA". It matches the Rfam family "Bacterial small subunit ribosomal RNA", at positions 28 to 506 of the family's 1533-position model. The record is from RNAcentral.
GAUGAACGCUGGCGGCGUGCCUAAUACAUGCAAGUCGAGCGAACAGACGAGGAGCUUGCUCCUCUGACGUUAGCGGCGGACGGGUGAGUAACACGUGGAUAACCUACCUAUAAGACUGGGAUAACUUCGGGAAACCGGAGCUAAUACCGGAUAAUAUAUUGAACCGCAUGGUUCAAUAGUGAAAGACGGUUUUGCUGUCACUUAUAGAUGGAUCCGCGCCGCAUUAGCUAGUUGGUAAGGUAACGGCUUACCAAGGCGACGAUGCGUAGCCGACCUGAGAGGGUGAUCGGCCACAGUGGAACUGAGACACGGUCCAGACUCCGACGGGAGGCAGCAGUAGGGAAUCUUCCGCAAUGGGCGAAAGCCUGACGGAGCAACGCCGCGUGAGUGAUGAAGGGCUGCGGAUCGUAAAACUCUGUUAUGAGGGAAGAACAAAUGUGUAAGUAACUAUGCACGUCUUGACGAUACCUAAUCAGAAAGCCACGGCUAACUACGU